GUUGCUCUGCGGGAGGCCGCUCUUCUGCAGGAUUUCAACGUGCUGUGGACUCUCUCAGCUCUUCCCCUCUCACCUUGCUCACCCAGCCAAGAGCAUCCCCAACGAGUGAAUGCUGGAGAAGGAAGUUCUAACGACAUGUAGACCUUGGUGUAGGCAUGUUCUCUCCAGGCUCUUGCGUUUGUGAUGAUGCCCUUCCUCUGCACGGCACAGCAGUCAAGCACUGACAGACACAGACUGCCUGCUCGUCUCUGCUUCGUUGUAGGGGAAGGUUUGCUGGCCUCCUAGCAGAGGACACGUGUCCCUGGGAAGGAGAGCUUCCC
Long non-coding RNA from Cygnus atratus (black swan), 320 nucleotides. RefSeq lists it as uncharacterized. The transcript is spliced from 3 exons. Lineage: Eukaryota; Metazoa; Chordata; Aves; Anseriformes; Anatidae. The record is from RefSeq and is a predicted model, not a curated record.